UACAGAGGGUGCGAGCGUUAAUCGGAAUUACUGGGCGUAAAGCGCACGUAGGCGGCUUUGCAAGUCGGGUGUGAAAUCCCCGGGCUCAACCUGGGAACUGCAUCCGAGACUGCAUUGCUAGAGUAUGGGAGAGGGAAGCGUAAUUUCUGGUGUAGCAGUGAAAUGCGUAGAUAUCAGAAGGAACAUCAGUGGCGAAGGCGGCUUCCUGGACCAAUACUGACGAUCAGGUGCGAAAGCGUGGGGAGCAAACAGG
Molecule: ribosomal RNA, 253 nt
Filed under: uncultured bacterium
Lineage: Bacteria
Description: partial 16S ribosomal RNA
Rfam family: Bacterial small subunit ribosomal RNA
Source: RNAcentral